This 549-nucleotide ribosomal RNA is filed under the name uncultured archaeon. RNAcentral describes it as "bacterial SSU rRNA". It matches the Rfam family "Archaeal small subunit ribosomal RNA", at positions 330 to 879 of the family's 1478-position model. The record is from RNAcentral.
GUGCAGCAGGCGCGAAAACUCUACAAUGCAGGCAACUGCGAUAGGGGGACAUCGAGUGGCAUCCACCUUGGGUGCCUGUCCAACCGUCUAAAAAACGGUUGUUAGCAAGGGCCGGGUAAGACCGGUGCCAGCCGCCGCGGUAAUACCGGCGGCUCGAGUGGUGGCCGAUAUUAUUGAGUCUAAAGGGUCCGUAGCCGGCUUUGCAAGUCCCCUGGGAAAUCCAGCGGCUUAACCGUUGGGCUUUCAUGGGAUACUACAUUGCUUGGGACUGGGAGAGGUAGGAGGUACUCGGGGGGUAGGGGUGAAAUCCUGUAAUCCUCCGGGGACCACCGGUGGCGAAGGCGUCCUACCAGAACAGGUCCGACGGUGAGGGACGAAAGCUAGGGGCACGAACCGGAUUAGAUACCCGGGUAGUCCUAGCCGUAAACGAUGCCCGCUAGGUGUCACGACGGUCGUGAAUCGUCGUGGUGCCGUAGGGAAGCCGCGAAGCGGGCCACUUGGGAAGUACGGCCGCAAGGCUGAAACUUAAAGGAAUUGGCGGGGGAGCAC